AAAUUGAAGAGUUUGAUCAUGGCUCAGAUUGAACGCUGGCGGCAGGCCUAACACAUGCAAGUCGAGCGGUAGCACAGAGAGCUUGCUCUCGGGUGACGAGCGGCGGACGGGUGAGUAAUGUCUGGGAAACUGCCUGAUGGAGGGGGAUAACUACUGGAAACGGUAGCUAAUACCGCAUAACGUCGCAAGACCAAAGUGGGGGACCUUCGGGCCUCAUGCCAUCAGAUGUGCCCAGAUGGGAUUAGCUAGUAGGUGGGGUAACGGCUCACCUAGGCGACGAUCCCUAGCUGGUCUGAGAGGAUGACCAGCCACACUGGAACUGAGACACGGUCCAGACUCCUACGGGAGGCAGCAGUGGGGAAUAUUGCACAAUGGGCGCAAGCCUGAUGCAGCCAUGCCGCGUGUGUGAAGAAGGCCUUCGGGUUGUAAAGCACUUUCAGCGGGGAGGAAGGCGUUAAGGUUAAUAACCUUGGCGAUUGACGUUACCCGCAGAAGAAGCACCGGCUAACUCCGUGCCAGCAGCCGCGGUAAUACGGAGGGUGCAAGCGUUAAUCGGAAUUACUGGGCGUAAAGCGCACGCAGGCGGUCUGUCAAGUCGGAUGUGAAAUCCCCGGGCUCAACCUGGGAACUGCAUUCGAAACUGGCAGGCUAGAGUCUUGUAGAGGGGGGUAGAAUUCCAGGUGUAGCGGUGAAAUGCGUAGAGAUCUGGAGGAAUACCGGUGGCGAAGGCGGCCCCCUGGACAAAGACUGACGCUCAGGUGCGAAAGCGUGGGGAGCAAACAGGAUUAGAUACCCUGGUAGUCCACGCCGUAAACGAUGUCGAUUUGGAGGUUGUGCCCUUGAGGCGUGGCUUCCGGAGCUAACGCGUUAAAUCGACCGCCUGGGGAGUACGGCCGCAAGGUUAAAACUCAAAUGAAUUGACGGGGGCCCGCACAAGCGGUGGAGCAUGUGGUUUAAUUCGAUGCAACGCGAAGAACCUUACCUGGUCUUGACAUCCACAGAACUUUCCAGAGAUGGAUUGGUGCCUUCGGGAACUGUGAGACAGGUGCUGCAUGGCUGUCGUCAGCUCGUGUUGUGAAAUGUUGGGUUAAGUCCCGCAACGAGCGCAACCCUUAUCCUUUGUUGCCAGCGGUUCGGCCGGGAACUCAAAGGAGACUGCCAGUGAUAAACUGGAGGAAGGUGGGGAUGACGUCAAGUCAUCAUGGCCCUUACGACCAGGGCUACACACGUGCUACAAUGGCAUAUACAAAGAGAAGCGACCUCGCGAGAGCAAGCGGACCUCAUAAAGUAUGUCGUAGUCCGGAUUGGAGUCUGCAACUCGACUCCAUGAAGUCGGAAUCGCUAGUAAUCGUAGAUCAGAAUGUUACGGUGAAUACGUUCCCGGGCCUUGUACACACCGCCCGUCACACCAUGGGAGUGGGUUGCAAAAGAAGUAGGUAGCUUAACCUUCGGGAGGGCGCUUACCACUUUGUGAUUCAUGACUGGGGUGAAGUCGUAACAAGGUAACCGUAGGGGAACCUGCGGUUGGAUCACCUCCUUA
RNAcentral lists this ribosomal RNA (1540 nucleotides) under Klebsiella pneumoniae. RNAcentral describes it as "bacterial SSU rRNA". It matches the Rfam family "Bacterial small subunit ribosomal RNA". The record is from RNAcentral. Lineage: Bacteria; Pseudomonadati; Pseudomonadota; Gammaproteobacteria; Enterobacterales; Enterobacteriaceae.